ACAUGUAGUUUUUGGCAAAAAAACUUGAGGCGUAUCAUCAGUGAUUAAUAAUAAAAUCGCGAAAACCAGUAUACAAACAGUAAUAAAGGAGUGUCCAUUGAAGUACAUGGGAUUUAUUGUUUUCUUUUUUAACACUGGUAUCUAAUUGGGUAGAAACAGUCAUG
Molecule: long non-coding RNA, 164 nt
Organism: Sebastes umbrosus (honeycomb rockfish)
Lineage: Eukaryota; Metazoa; Chordata; Actinopteri; Perciformes; Sebastidae
Exons: 4
Source: RefSeq, a predicted model, not a curated record